GUGGAUUAGAUACCCUAGUAGUCCACGCCGUAAACGAUGGAUACUAGCUGUUCGGAGCAAUCUGAGUGGCUAAGCGAAAGUGAUAAGUAUCCCACCUGGGGAGUACGAACGCAAGUUUGAAACUCAAAGGAAUUGACGGGGGCCCGCACAAGCGGAGGAGCAUGUGGUUUAAUUCGAUGAUACGCGAGGAACCUUACCAAGGCUUAAAUGGGAAACGACAGGUUUGGAAACAGACUUUUCUUCGGACGUUUUUCAAGGUGCUGCACGGCCGUCGACAACU
Molecule: ribosomal RNA, 280 nt
Filed under: uncultured bacterium
Lineage: Bacteria
Description: partial 16S ribosomal RNA
Rfam family: Bacterial small subunit ribosomal RNA
Source: RNAcentral